GGAAAUAAAGUUAACCUUACAGUUAUUCUGAAAUAACCAUAAAAUUUAAAAUUUUACAGAGAGAGUUCAACCUUUUUACAAAACUAUGUACCUAACCGAAUGGUUCAUACAAAACUAUCUACAUAUGACCGAACGAUCCUAGUCUAAACAACCGGGUCCUCGUCAUCCAGAGUCUGCUCCAGCGAACACCCAUCUCCCUCUGCUCACACCCACAAGGUGAUCAUUGCAAAAAAGAAACAUCUAACAACAACAUAAACAAGAUAGAAAAGAAUGGUAAGAUAGAGUAAUUUAAUUAAUCAUACUAAUCAUACACAUAAAGCAAGUACAUAAGCAUACAACAACCAAACACUUAAAAUCAGGCAAUGAUUGAUCACUCAAACAGGUAAUGAUCGAACACAUUAAUUCAGGCAAAGACCGACCACUUGACUUGACCAUCCGAAUUGUAUGAAUAUGUAGCUUGAGGUUGUUCUUGCACCCGUGGGUGUAGUAACUGGAAACCCAUCAGCUGCCACCCGAGGUUAGUCUGUUAUACCUCACCCAAGAUACCCUCUGGGCUAGGACCUCUUGACAUUCUCACGACAUGACUUACCCAUCUCUACUUGAGAACUAGUAAUCAUUAAAAUUUCAAGAUGAACGUCGUGAAUUUCACUAUCCAAUUCAUACUUUACCAUUUCCAUGACCAUUCACUAAGACAUUCCUCCUUGGAAUUCUCUUCCAUACCAACUUGAAACAUACUACUUUAUUGAAAUAUUUAUUCACUUAUUCAUUCUCAGUAGAUUCAUAUAAUAAAUGUAAUAAGUUAUCAAAUAACCAUAAAAGUCACAUAAAAGAACGAGCACCCUGUGAAUGUUGGAAAACGAACGAUUUCUCACUACCCAAAGAACAGGACCGAGCGGAAGGGAUCAACUUAUCCUAUAAACAAGACCGAACGGAUAAUACUCAUAACAUGUAAAUAUGAUUGAACGGUCAUUCAAAGAGUAAGGAUCAAACAUGAGCCGAAUACAGUCUGAGGGUCGAACACUAGACCGACCAAAUACUAUUUAACUUAGACCGAAACUAAUACUUAGGAAGAACACGUAAGGCUUAGACUGCACACUAUGAACUUAGACCGAACACUCUAAACUUACACUGAAUACUCAGGUAGGACCGAUCACUAAAGCAUGAUCGAACGGUCAUUAACAGUAAGGCCCAUAAGAGACCGAACGCGGUUAAGACCGAACACCAAUACAAAUCGAGUACUAUUGUUAGACCAAAAACUUAUAUUAGACCAAAUACUAAUGCAAGACUGGGCGCUACUAAGAGACCGAAAGUUAGUAUAAGAUCGAACACUAUUUAAGAGACCGACCACCCACUUAAGACCGAAUGGUCAUGAACGGACAAGACUCUAAAGAGACCGAACUCAGUUAUGACUGAGUACAUGAACAUGGCCGAGCGGUCAACAUCGAACGCUCAGCUUUCUGCAUAAUUCUGCAUAACUUCUGUAGAAUUAUGGUCAUGCUAGCUUUUACCAAAACUAAAUAUUUUUCCCAAGUUCUAAUCCUCCAUACUUGAAUUUACAUACCAGUUUACACUUCACCAAGUAUGUCUAUACCUUUCUAACAUCAUUCUAAAGGAUUUCGUAUCAGAUUAAACCCCUAAAUUCUGUAGAAUCACAACUCAAUGACCAAAAAUCCAUUUUCCUACUUUUUACACAUUUUAGAGAAACUUAAAGGUUCUAACAGGUCUAAUUACACUUAUUCAGACUCUCUCCAUUGACCAAUUUCACUCUCAACCUCAAACUCUCAUUUUCUCAUACCCACUUUCUUAAGACUAGAACAGACCGAACACUUAUGCAAAGAGAAUCACUAAAGUUCACAGAUUCCAGCCUUUCUAGUUUCAAUCAAACAUUUGAUUUACACACAUGCAACCAUCCAAACAUGCAACCAACCAAACAUUAAAGUUCAUGCAUAAAGAAAUCAUAAUUAAAUUAACUAGCUUCCCUUACCUUAAAAAAUCUGGACAGCUUUACCUAAAAUUCCCAAAGUGAUGCUUGCACUGAAAGAAAUUCUAAGAACACCUAUAGAUCACCGAUCGGUGAAAGAAUACCAUGUGUAGAACCAAAAUUGAAGUCAGAAACAAGAAGAGAAAACUGAUGAACACAUGCAACCCUAAUUGUGCUGUGCAUGUGCCAAAAUUUUUGGAAUUUCACCAAGAACAGGAAAAUGAAGCUUAUCAGCUCUAAACUCAAUACUGUUCGAUAGGAAAUUCUUGACGCAAGGAUUCCUUAAGCACAACUUGAUUGUUUAAAAAGAUGAGUAAAGAUUGGAGAAAUCUAGAGAGAAUUGGUAGAAAAAAAGGAGGAAAAAAAAGAGAAGAUCAAAGUAGCAGAAAGAUGG
RNAcentral lists this long non-coding RNA (2375 nucleotides) under Vigna radiata. RNAcentral's name for it is "long non-coding RNA (VRAD_LNC006995)". Lineage: Eukaryota; Viridiplantae; Streptophyta; Magnoliopsida; Fabales; Fabaceae. The record is from RNAcentral.